Molecule: long non-coding RNA, 1061 nt
Filed under: Chrysolophus pictus (golden pheasant)
Lineage: Eukaryota; Metazoa; Chordata; Aves; Galliformes; Phasianidae
Description: lncRNA (ENSCPIG00010001344.1)
Source: RNAcentral
GCCUGUAAGAUUCAACCAAGAACAGCUUCUUUGCAUCCUUUGAUUCAACCAUGCUGUGGGAUUCUCUGUUGAGUCAUGCUGAAUGGAUCAAACAACGCAUAGAGGGUCUAUGCGUAAACUUUGCUUUCCCACUGCCUUUAGAAGCUGGUAGCACCUGGCACCACACAGCAGCUGUGUGCAGCAGAGGAAGCAGAGGGGUGUGGGUUAGGGGUCUAGGUUGAAAUCCAGUGACCUGCCAUGUAGCUACUGUGCUGCCUGCUCAGAGUGUUCUGGAAGCCUCUGUGGUCCCCUCCCUGCAGGCAGGAGAUGUCAAUGGCCCCAAGGUAGCCCUAAAGGACAGGCAAGAUGUGCUGUAUGCAUCAGUGCAGAUGCCAUCACUGCUUCCUUACAGACUAUGAGCACUAGUGGUGCUUCGGGGGAUGACAGAGGAACAUUCCUUGGUAACUGUGAGACUUUCCUGGUCUUAACAGGGAAACACUCAUUUUCAGAGAGCAAAUUGUCCUUCUAGUCACAGAACCAGCCCAGCAUCUGGGUGCUGUCAGUCCCACUUACCUCUUCCAAAGGGGAUCUCCAGACACAGCAGCAGAAGUUACAGCUUUCCUCUGUGAGGCACUGAUGGAUGCUGUUUAACUUGCACAAAGUGUCCCCCUGCAGAAAUCAGUGAGAAAGAGUCAGAUGAGCAAGUACAAGAUUUCUGAUAGUGAUGUUAUGAAUGGUAAAUGGCUGCAACUUUAUUUAAUUUUUGUUUGAGGAUGUCUGAGGGGGAAGGGAGAAGGUUCUUGCUGCUGACUACUCAUCACCAUUUCAUUUUGUGCUUUCUUCAACUCUCCUGUAUCACCUCCAUGCCUGCUGUGUGCAAAUUCAUCUCCACUGUGCUGCCAUCAUGUGAACCUGUCUCAUGGCUCCAUCUUCAUUGUUUAUGUGCAUGCCACUCUUCCAGCCAAGGCUGUCUUCCAUCACUCCCACAAGCACAAGAAGCACGACACGCUGCAGCCCUGCGACACAGAGUACCCUGUCUUCGUGUACGAGCCGACCAUCAAGGAGACCAACGGGCUGAUUGA